GGGGUGGGAGUGUCUGUGUAGAGAGGGUGGGUGGGAGAAUAGGAGUGACAAGAUGGGAAAGACUUGGAGAUGAGAAAGGUUGGCUUCCUCUGCUCAGAAUGCAUCAUCUGCUGUACUUACAGAUUACCAUCCCUCUCCAGUGUUUCCUCUACGAGAUUGGCGCUUCAGUUGGAGAUGGAUGCAUUCUGGAUAGAGGAGGAAAGUCCUAUAUCCCUGCUUGACUCUGAGGAAAAGGAGAGAACUGAAGACGAUGGGGUAGAGAAUAAUGGAUAAUGGAAGCGGUGCGAGCCAGGGAGGACAAUACAACUGGUGCAGGUGAGUGACAAAGCAGAU
Neolamprologus brichardi is the source of this 333-nucleotide non-coding RNA. NCBI's taxonomy places the organism in Eukaryota, Metazoa, Chordata, Actinopteri, Cichliformes, Cichlidae. The record is from RefSeq and is a predicted model, not a curated record.